RNAcentral lists this ribosomal RNA (481 nucleotides) under Fusarium lateritium. RNAcentral describes it as "eukaryotic LSU rRNA". The stretch from base 122 to 275 matches the Rfam family "5.8S ribosomal RNA". Lineage: Eukaryota; Fungi; Ascomycota; Sordariomycetes; Hypocreales; Nectriaceae. The record is from RNAcentral.
CCUUCAAUGUUGCCUCGGCGGAUCACGCCCUGCUCCCCCGUAAAACGGGACGGCCCGCCAGAGGACCCAAACUCUAAUGUUUCUUAUUGUAACUUCUGAGUAAAACAAACAAAUAAAUCAAAACUUUCAACAACGGAUCUCUUGGUUCUGGCAUCGAUGAAGAACGCAGCAAAAUGCGAUAAGUAAUGUGAAUUGCAGAAUUCAGUGAAUCAUCGAAUCUUUGAACGCACAUUGCGCCCGCUGGUAUUCCGGCGGGCAUGCCUGUUCGAGCGUCAUUUCAACCCUCAAGCCCCCGGGUUUGGUGUUGGGGAUCGGCUCUGCCUCACGGCGGUGCCGCCCCCGAAAUACAUUGGCGGUCUCGCUGCAGCCUCCAUUGCGUAGUAGCUAACACCUCGCAACUGGAACGCGGCGCGUCCAUGCGGUAAAACCCCAACUUCUGAAUGUUGACCUCGGAUCAGGUAGGAAUACCCGCUGAACUUAA